Molecule: ribosomal RNA, 921 nt
Filed under: gut metagenome
Description: bacterial SSU rRNA
Rfam family: Bacterial small subunit ribosomal RNA
Source: RNAcentral
AGAGUUUGAUCCUGGCUCAGGAUGAACGCUAGCUACAGGCUUAACACAUGCAAGUCGAGGGGCAGCAUGGUCUUAGCUUGCUAAGGCUGAUGGCGACCGGCGCACGGGUGAGUAACACGUAUCCAACCUGCCGUCUACUCUUGGCCAGCCUUCUGAAAGGAAGAUUAAUCCAGGAUGGCAUCAUGAGUUCACAUGUCCGCAUGAUUAAAGGUAUUUUCCGGUAGACGAUGGGGAUGCGUUCCAUUAGAUAGUAGGCGGGGUAACGGCCCACCUAGUCAACGAUGGAUAGGGGUUCUGAGAGGAAGGUCCCCCACAUUGGAACUGAGACACGGUCCAAACUCCUACGGGAGGCAGCAGUGAGGAAUAUUGGUCAAUGGGCGAUGGCCUGAACCAGCCAAGUAGCGUGAAGGAUGACUGCCCUAUGGGUUGUAAACUUCUUUUAUAAAGGAAUAAAGUCGGGUAUGCAUACCCGUUUGCAUGUACUUUAUGAAUAAGGAUCGGCUAACUCCGUGCCAGCAGCCGCGGUAAUACGGAGGAUCCGAGCGUUAUCCGGAUUUAUUGGGUUUAAAGGGAGCGUAGAUGGAUGUUUAAGUCAGUUGUGAAAGUUUGCGGCUCAACCGUAAAAUUGCAGUUGAUACUGGAUGUCUUGAGUGCAGUUGAGGCAGGCGGAAUUCGUGGUGUAGCGGUGAAAUGCUUAGAUAUCACGAAGAACUCCGAUUGCGAAGGCAGCCUGCUAAGCUGCAACUGACAUUGAGGCUCGAAAGUGUGGGUAUCAAACAGGAUUAGAUACCCUGGUAGUCCACACGGUAAACGAUGAAUACUCGCUGUUUGCGAUAUACGGCAAGCGGCCAAGCGAAAGCGUUAAGUAUUCCACCUGGGGAGUACGCCGGCAACGGUGAAACUCAAAGGAAUUGACGGGGG